ACAAGGGAAAGCACAGAAUAUGACACCAAAACCUUCUUAGUGAUUGUUAGUGUUGGUUUAUUAGUGACAAAUAUCGUGACAAUAGUGUAUGCAAUAUAUAAGACAGUGCAGAUGAGAAAAGCGAAACCAGGAGGAUCAGUUGAUGAAUGUCUUCACAUGGAUCCGUCAUCACACCCUACAAACAACUGUACUACUCCUCUUCCUCUUGCUAGUGAUCAAAACAAUAAACUGACAGCUAAAAGUUGAAAAACAGCAAUUUAAAGUGACUGAUUUGCUUUGAAGAAAACGUCAUGGAUUAUUGAAUUACAAAUCAAAUUGACGUGUUAUUCAUCUGUUUCGUGACUCCGUCUAGUGAACUUUCAUGCAAUGAGUGUGAUCAGUCAGCAUUUUGGCAGCAGUUUGUAAACAUUACCUGUCAAUGUCAUCUAUCAUAUCACAAUAUACAUAUAUUUAUGUUAGACUUAUUGUUAAACUUGCAUACACAUACAGUGUCAAACAAAAUAAUUAAUUUCAAGAAGAAUUCUUACCUUCCUGGUG
This is a long non-coding RNA of Mercenaria mercenaria, 537 nucleotides long. RefSeq lists it as uncharacterized. The transcript has 3 exons. Lineage: Eukaryota; Metazoa; Mollusca; Bivalvia; Venerida; Veneridae. The record is from RefSeq and is a predicted model, not a curated record.